RNAcentral lists this long non-coding RNA (1586 nucleotides) under Homo sapiens (human). RNAcentral describes it as "PREDICTED lncRNA (TCONS_00012737)". Lineage: Eukaryota; Metazoa; Chordata; Mammalia; Primates; Hominidae. The record is from RNAcentral.
GGAGCCUCACGCGCCUCUUACCUAACAGGAAGUUGGGUGGAAGCAGCGCGGACCCACGGCGCACCGAACGCACUCCAACAGAACCCGACGCAGACACGCGCUUUCAACCGGCGGAGACACUGGCAGGCUGAUCCAUAUGAAUUCCUCUUAUUAAGAAAAAUAAAGCAUCCAGGAUUCAAUGAAGAACUGACUAUCACCUUGUUAAUCAUUCAGAAACAUGUUGCAGGCUUAAGCCAUUUUUGAUAUAGAUACUGAAACAAUUACUUGCUAAGAGCAAACUUGAAGGUAUGGAUAAGGCCCUGAGUCAUCUUCCUGAGCUGAAUGAUAGUUAAGCUGAAUGACUGGACCUCACUGUGGGAACAACAAGAUCAACAAGAGGAGCAAGAACAACAUCAAGAGUCAGGGCCCGGGGGUCCUGACGGGUACAGGAUGGGUACAGACCCACACAGGAAUCCCAGAGUGUGUUCCACAGCAGGACACGCCUGCGCUGAAAGAGUGGGCAGAAAGGAGCUGACCUGGGAUUAUGAUCCAAACUCAGCUGGGCCUCCCCUACCUGCCCCAGGAUUGUGGAGUGAGAACGUUGCAGCAGGGGAGAACAACGCAGCAAAGCACAGCAGGGGAACCGGAAAUGCUCACCCUUUGACAGGACCAAACCAAUGCACAACUCCUACGUACUGAUGGUGGUCUUACGUUUCCCUAAGUUUCUGCCGACUAAACUGUGCACACGUUCUCAGGACCUCCUGAAGCUGCGUCACAGGCGCUGAUCAAAGAACACAACCAAGGUGAGUGUCAAUCAUUUCAAGAAAUCUAUUUGCAAGGUUAAGGACACACCUGAGAAAAGAACAGAGAACCACAGGAAAAACUGUGGUCCGUGCUUUUCCCAAAGAUUGUCUGGGGGCCUCAGUAAGUAAAGGGGAAAAGUGCGGGUAUUGGGGAAAGGGGAAGAAGUGGAAAAAAUGGGUGUGGGUAAAUCAGAGGCAAAUGGUUGCAUUCUUCUGUCUUUGGUCAGUGUUCACUGAAUACACAUUUUACAUGCGAGGGAGGUAGAGGCAGGGAUGUAGCUUUUUUAUCUUUGUGUAAUAGCUAUCUUAUUUAGGAACCAGAUGGGAAGCAGGUUUGCAUAAGCCAGUUCCCAGCUUGGCUUUUCCCUUUGGCUUAGUGAGUCUGGGGUCCCAGGAUUUAUUUUCCGUUCUCACAGGUUGUGGUCCUCACAUUUGGCUCAAAAUAUUCAAAAUUUUUUCCAGAGUUUGGCCUUUUCUUCAGCACUGGGAAUUGUGAUCCAAAGCUUUUCCUGAUGAGGCACAAAGUUGGAGAAACAAAACGCAAACUAAGCAACAAUGAAACAGAACAGAGUGAAUCUGCUGUAGCUCAAGAGAGGACGUAGCUGCCCCCACCCCGCAUCCCCGGGCUCGGGUUUGCCUUGCUGACCUCUGCUGCCACCUGGUGCCGCACAGAGAAACUGAGGAGAAACCACAUCAGUCUCCUUCAGCCUCAGCUUCACAUCUGUGGGUCAAGCAACCCUUUCAGAAGCUGAAUAAUGUGGGAAAGCUUUCCUCUCAGGAAAAUGCACACAUCCAACUUUGAGA